Molecule: ribosomal RNA, 153 nt
Filed under: uncultured fungus
Lineage: Eukaryota; Fungi
Description: 5.8S ribosomal RNA
Rfam family: 5.8S ribosomal RNA
About the family: 5.8S ribosomal RNA (5.8S rRNA) is a component of the large subunit of the eukaryotic ribosome.
Source: RNAcentral
AACUUUCAACAACGGAUCUCUUGGUCCUGGCAUCGAUGAAGAACGCAGCGAAAUGCGAUAAGUAAUGUGAAUUGCAGAAUUCAGUGAAUCAUCGAAUCUUUGAACGCACAUUGCGCCCUUUGGUAUUCCAGAGGGCAUGCCUGUUCGAGCGUC